UACGUAGGCAGCGAGCGUUGUUCGGAGUUACUGGGCGUAAAGGGUGUGUAGGCGGUUCGGUAAGUCUGGUGUGAAAUCUCCCGGCUCAACUGGGAGGGUGCGCCGGAAACUGCCAAACUAGAGUGCGGGAGAGGAAAGUGGAAUUCCUGGUGUAGCGGUGAAAUGCGUAGAUAUCUGAAGGAACAUCAGUGGCGAAAGCGACUUCCUGGACCAAUACUGACGCUCAUGUGCGAAAGCGUGGGGAGCAAACAGG
RNAcentral lists this ribosomal RNA (253 nucleotides) under uncultured bacterium. Its description in RNAcentral is "partial 16S ribosomal RNA". It matches the Rfam family "Bacterial small subunit ribosomal RNA", at positions 524 to 776 of the family's 1533-position model. The record is from RNAcentral.